Molecule: unclassified non-coding RNA, 2908 nt
Filed under: Sinapis alba (white mustard)
Lineage: Eukaryota; Viridiplantae; Streptophyta; Magnoliopsida; Brassicales; Brassicaceae
Source: RNAcentral
CCCUCCCCUUAACCUAUCAAAUGUACCUCCCAAAAACUCGAUAAACAAAAAUCCCGAAAAUUUCAAGUAUAUAAGAAAACGUUGCGCGAGGUUUCAGAUUAUUACUUGGGUAAAAUCACUCUCGCACCAAGAUUCCAGAAAAGAACGACGAAACGCAUCCCGUCAUUACAUAGAUCUUGAUCAGAUCAUAAAAAACCAAGGGAAAAUGUUCACACUUGGAUGAUCAUGCAUCCCAUCAGUACUGUCUGGACGGACCAGGACUGUCCGGACUGGUCCAUCAGUCCAUGAAAAUCCGACCCAUACGUACUGAUGGGCUGUUCUGAUCGAGCUUAUCCGUCCUGAAUGGAAGGAUUUAGCUCAACGGACCAUGGACUGUCCGGACUGGUCCCAUCAGUACGUGAAAAAUGCCCCGUACGUACUGAUAUGCUGAUCCGAUCAGCCAUCAGUACUGUCUGGACGGACCAGGACUGUCCGGACUGGUCCGUCAGUCCAUGAAAAUCCGACCCAUACGUACUGAUGGGCUGUUCUGAUCGAGCUUAUCCGUCCUGAAUGGAAGGAUUUAGCUCAACGGACCAUGGACUGUCCGGACUGGUCCCAUCAGUACGUGAAAAAUGCCCCGUACGUACUGAUAUGCUGAUCCGAUCAGCCAUCAGUACUGUCUGGACGGACCAGGACUGUCCGGACUGGUCCAUCAGUCCAUGAAAAUCCGACCCAUACGUACUGAUGGGCUGAUCUGAUCGAGACGGACCAUGGACUGUCCGGACUGGUCCCAUCAGUACGUGAAAAAUGCCCCGUACGUACUGAUAUGCUGAUCCGAUCAGCCAUCAGUACUGUCUGGACGGACCAGGACUGUCCGGACUGGUCCAUCAGUCCAUGAAAAUCCGACCCAUACGUACUGAUGGGCUGAUCUGAUCGAGACGGACCAUGGACUGUCCGGACUGGUCCCAUCAGUACGUGAAAAAUGCCCCGUACGUACUGAUAUGCUGAUCCGAUCAGCCAUCAGUACUGUCUGGACGGACCAGGACUGUCCGGACUGGUCCAUCAGUCCAUCAAAAUCCGACCCAUACGUACUGAUGGGCUGAUCUGAUCGAGCCGGACCAUGGACUGUCCGGACUGGUCCCAUCAGUACGUGAAAAAUGCCCCGUACGUACUGAUAUGCUGAUCCGAUCAGCCAUCAGUACUGUCUGGACGGACCAGGACUGUCCGGACUGGUCCAUCAGUCCAUGAAAAUCCGACCCAUACGUACUGAUGGGCUGAUCUGAUCGAGACGGACCAUGGACUGUCCGGACUGGUCCCAUCAGUACGUGAAAAAUGCCCCGUACGUACUGAUAUGCUGAUCCGAUCAGCCAUCAGUACUGUCUGGACGGACCAGGACUGUCCGGACUGGUCCAUCAGUCCAUGAAAAUCCGACCCAUACGUACUGAUGGGCUGAUCUGAUCGAGACGGACCAUGGACUGUCCGGACUGGUCCCAUCAGUACGUGAAAAAUGCCCCGUACGUACUGAUAUGCUGAUCCGAUCAGCCAUCAGUACUGACUGGACGGACCAGGACUGUCCGGACUGGUCCAUCAGUCCAUGAAAAUCCGACCCAUACGUACUGAUGGGCUGAUCUGAUCGAGACGGACCAUGGACUGUCCGGACUGGUCCCAUCAGUACGUGAAAAAUGCCCCGUACGUACUGAUAUGCUGAUCCGAUCAGCCAUCAGUACUGUCUGGACGGACCAGGACUGUCCGGACUGGUCCAUCAGUCCAUGAAAAUCCGACCCAUACGUACUGAUGGGCUGAUCUGAUCGAGACGGACCAUGGACUGUCCGGACUGGUCCCAUCAGUACGUGAAAAAUGCCCCGUACGUACUGAUAUGCUGAUCCGAUCAGCCAUCAGUACUGUCUGGACGGACCAGGACUGUCCGGACUGGUCCAUCAGUCCAUGAAAAUCCGACCCAUACGUACUGAUGGGCUGAUCUGAUCGAGCUUAUCCGUCCUGAAUGGAAGGAUUUAGCUCAACGGACCAUGGACUGUCCGGACUGGUCCCAUCAGUACGUGAAAAAUGCCCCGUACGUACUGCCAGACAGUCCCACGUGGGCCAAAAUCACCCACGGACAGCCAAAACCACCCGAGAAACCAAAAAUUCAAAAAUUAAUAUUUUUGAAGAAAAUUUUCUGAAAGGAAACAUCAGAAAUAUGUCAAUAAAGAGUUUAGGAUGUCAAGUGUUGAUCAAAAGUUCAUUUAGACAUCCGUUAAGACCCCGACAGCCCGAGCCUUGUAGCAUGCAAAAGACAUGGUUAGAAGCAUCAGAAAAUUAUGAAAUUUUACCAGAAAAUAGCUCUCAACCAUCCUUAUGAAGCAUGCAAAAAAUCAGAUUCAAAAUCGAAGUAUUUUUUUUUUUACAUCAAAAAUACUCCCGGAACAGAAUCAAUGUCUACUGGUGGGAGACUGAAAAAAAGUGAUUUGUAUAUAUAAGGGGUAGGCACCUUCUGUGCCUACCCCCCAGGUGGGAGUCCGAAUGGGUAUGGGUGGUGUCCGCAUGCUUGGUGCAGCAUGAUAGAUGGUUGGGUUUGUGGUCCGAUGGCCGGACAGUCUCCGGAACUUUUCCGGCGACUUUUCCGGCGACUUUUUUUUGGACCGUUUUGCCCCUAAUAUCAGAUUUUCGCGCUUUGGCGACUUGUCUGGUUCCAUUCGUCUUCCAGCUGCUUUUCUGAUUACAUCGGAAGAGUGGUUGGAAAGAUUGAUGUUAGCGGGGCAAUUGAACGUUCGGCGUAUGAGUGGUGAUUGGAUAGCUAGUGUUUGUAGGCUCUGUGCUCGCGCACCCAACUACAGACCAACUAUCCUUCUCAGUUACUUCAACAAGCAAAUUAAUGCUUGUUGACUUGAUCUGGGGACUGUGUUGCGUACCUAUCCGGAAGGAAUUGUUA